GACGAACGCUGGCGGCGUGCUUAACACAUGCAAGUCGAACGGAAAGGCCCUGCUUUUGUGGGGUUCUCGAUUGGCGAACGGGUGAGUAACACGUGAGUAACCUGCCCUUGACUUUGGGAUAACUUCAGGAAACUGGGGCUAAUACCGCAUAGGAGCUCCUGCUGCAUGGUGGGGGUUGGAAAGUUUCGGCGGUUGGGGAUGGACUCGCGGCUUAUCAGCUUGUUGGUGGGGUAGUGGCUUACCAAGGCUUUGACGGGUAGCCUGCCUGGGAGGGUGACCGGCCACAUUGGGACUGAGAUACGGCCCAGACUCCUACGGGAGGCAGCAGUGGGGAAUCUUGCACAAUGGGCGGAAGCCUGAUGCAGAAACGCCGCGUGCGGGAUGACGGCUUUCGGGUUGUAAACCGCUUUCGCAGGUGCCGAAGAGUGAGUGGCGGUAAUGGGUAAAGAAGCCACGGCUAACUACGUG
This 468-nucleotide ribosomal RNA is filed under the name uncultured bacterium. RNAcentral describes it as "partial 16S ribosomal RNA". It matches the Rfam family "Bacterial small subunit ribosomal RNA", at positions 28 to 507 of the family's 1533-position model. The record is from RNAcentral.